AUGUUGAACAGGGAAUUUGGCUUCAGGAUAAACUCUUGCUCGUUGGAAAUAAUCGUUGGUGGCGACAAUUCGGAGGAAACUGCAAGACAGUGUUCUAAACAUUAGUGGGCCUGCCAAAAAAAAUAAGGAAAAACAUCUACAUUAUGAAUUCUACUGUGCUGUAAACUUACCUGUAGCCACCAAGAUAACCCCAAAGACGACAUACAUCCUCACCCCAUCCAUGAUUAUGGAUGUUCUGGCCUAUAAAGACAAAAAAGUCUGACUGAGAUACAACAUAGCUGGCCUAAACACACGUUGACACUGGACACAGGCUGUCUGUUAGUCACAGAGUGAUGAGCCCUUUGAAGAUGACUGUGGUGGCCUUCGGGCGGCGGUCCCCGCUGGAGCUGUCCAGCGUGCUGAAAUGUGUCUUAAGUCUGAGCAGUGAUCGCCUCUCAACCAACUGACUUAAUUUGUCCAUGUAAUGAAUUCAUAGAUCGAUAGAUAAACAAAUAAAUACAAUUAUCCUACCUUUAUUUUA
Thunnus maccoyii (southern bluefin tuna) is the source of this 520-nucleotide long non-coding RNA. RefSeq lists it as uncharacterized. The record is from RefSeq and is a predicted model, not a curated record. The transcript is spliced from 2 exons. NCBI's taxonomy places the organism in Eukaryota, Metazoa, Chordata, Actinopteri, Scombriformes, Scombridae.